AUUGAACGCUGGCGGCAGGCAUAAUACAUGCAAGUCGAACGAGUGGCGGACGGGUGAGUAAUGUCUGGGAAACUGUCCGAUGGAGGGGGAUAACUACUGGAAACGGUAGCUAAUACCGCAUACCUUCGGGUGUGCCCUGUAGGGAUUAGCUAGUAGGUGGGGUAAUGGCUCACCUUGGCGACGAUCCCUAGCUGGUCUGAGCGGAUGACCAGCCACACUGGAACUGAGAAACGGUCCAGACUCCUACGGGAGGCAGCAGUGGGGAAUAUUGCCCAAUGGGCGCAAGCCUGAUGCAGCCAUGCCGCGUGUAUGAAGAAGGCCUUCGGGUUGUAAAGUACUUUCAGCGGGGAGGCGUUACCCGCAGAAGAAGCACCGGCUAACUCCGUGCCAGCAGCCGCGGUAAUAC
RNAcentral lists this ribosomal RNA (406 nucleotides) under uncultured bacterium. Its description in RNAcentral is "partial 16S ribosomal RNA". It matches the Rfam family "Bacterial small subunit ribosomal RNA", at positions 30 to 526 of the family's 1533-position model. The record is from RNAcentral.